GACGAACGCUGGCGGCGUGCUUAACACAUGCAAGUCGAACGAUGAAGAAAAGAAUCGCAGCUUCGGCAGAAAUUCAUUUCGGAUUAGUGGCAGACGGGUGAGUAACGCGUGAGCAACCUACCUCUUACAAAGGGAUAGCCUCGGGAAACCGGGAUUAAUACCAUAUAACAUUGUGACGAAGCAUUUCGAUGCAAUCAAAGCUACGGCGGUAAGAGAUGGGCUCGCGUCCCAUUAACCGGAUGGUGAGGUAACGGCUCACCAUAGUGACGAUGGGUAACCGGCCUGAGAGGGUGAACGGUCACACUGGAACUGAGACACGGUCCAGACUCCUACGGGAGGCAGCAGUGGGGAAUAUUGCACAAUGGAGGGAACUCUGAUGCAGCGACGCCGCGUGAGUGAUGAAGGAAUUCGUUUCGUAAAACUCUGUUCUAUGGGAAGAAAAGGACUGUACCAUAGGAGAAAGCGCCGGCUAAAUACGUG
Molecule: ribosomal RNA, 480 nt
Filed under: uncultured bacterium
Lineage: Bacteria
Description: partial 16S ribosomal RNA
Rfam family: Bacterial small subunit ribosomal RNA
Source: RNAcentral